UGGCGGCUUGUAGACAAAAGACAUCUGACGCUUUAUGGCGCGAUGUGUCUUAAUACCGGAUGCUUCACUCACACAAGUAUUUUACCGUCAUUGGACUUAGUAGAAGUGUGUGAGUUUGAAUUCAGGACAUGAAUAUUCAUGGCAAACGUGACGAAGAGCCGUUUCAAACAAGCAGGGAUAAUAACUCCAGUUGUUAAAAUAGACAUUUGCGUCAUAAACGUAUUGUAAAGAUGGAGGUUAUUAAAGUGGAGAUUGUGGACAUGGGCGAUCCAGAAACAUGCGGAGUGAAAAAUGAAGAUACUGAAGAACAAAGAGACCUGAAGGAAGUGAAGAAGGAAAGUCAAGAACCAAAUGAAGUGGAGGAGGAACAUCAGGAACCUCAUAAUUCCACAACUGGAGAAAUCUCUUUGAGUUGCUCACAGACUGGAAAGGUCAUCUCUCAGAUAAAAAGAGUAGUCAGAAAGCCUUUUUGCUGCCCUCAAUGUGAAAAGAGUUUCACAUGCAAAGACCACCUUAUGGAUCACUUCAGAAUUUACAGUGGAGAAAGGCCUUACGUGUGUCCUCCAAUGUGACGAGUUUCACGCAUCAAGGAAAUCUAUUAAGUCAUAUGAAAAUACAUUCUGGAGAGAAACCACACCAGUGUUCUCAGUGUGGCAAGAGGUUCUUUGAGGCAACAUAUCUCAAACACCUGAAAAUACAUACAGUUGAGAGGCCCCAUAUGUGUUCUCUUUGUGGCAAUGGUUAUUUAAGUCUCAGAAGUUUAGAAGCACACCAAAAAACACAUACUGGUAAACUGUAGUGUACAUAUUGCGAAAAGAAAAAGACAUGACGCCAUGUCUAAUUAAUGAUCUAAAGUGUGCUUUAGACAUAAGCAAGCAAAUAUUUAAUUCCUACAAUGUUUACUUUUCACUAGAAAUGGAUUCAGAAGGUAGCAAAGCUGGAUCAUCAAAUUUCACACUUGAGUCUUCUUUUAAAGGACCAAACUGAGACCCCCUUAAGUGGACCGUUAAGUAAACCGAGUGAAAAAGGACACUGUUAUCUUGCAUUGACACUGUCCGAGCCCAUGAAUGUGGACACUGUUGUUUUUAGAGGUUGACCAAAAGUAGGGUUUGCCGAUACGAUAACUAAAACCCAAAGUAAACUUCGGUCCGACGUGAACGCAAUGCGUCUGCGCACCGCACACGUGAUGCAUAUUUCGUCAUUCGCAGAGUGCUCGAAGUAAAUGUGCUGCCCAAUUUUUCUAACCGCGCUCACUCUGAAAGCACAGAAUGCGCAUGCACCUGGAAUUAUUUACAGUAAUUUGUGGGUUCACAAGGUAGCAACACUCAUCGCUGAGCCUGUGCUGUCACAAAGAAGCACUUAAAGAAGACGUAAUUGCCGUUAAACAUCAGCGGCCUGAAGGUAGAAACAACAAUAGGGGAUGUGCAUGUCAAGAGCACAUGUGUGAGGAGGUCAGGAGAUACCUGGAUUUGUAUACCUCGAGUCUGAAGGACUAUAAAGGACUAUCUUUAUAGGUAUAAACUCCUGAAGAGAAAUAGGACAAUGUCCCAUAGCAGUCGUAGCACGUGUGCCAACCACAUAUGUAUGCGUGCACAGAAGGACUGGGUGAUAAAAACGCUAUUAAUAUUUCGAGAAAAAAAUAUAUUUUUGAUAUCAAUGAUAAGCUUUUGAAUAAUUUCGAUAUUUGGCCUAUGUUCUACAUCUAGGCGAUCAGGUACGGGUCGCUAAAAACACAAGCAGUUUGGUAAAGUAAUACACACAGCAAACUGAAUCACAGUCAUGAAAUCAGCCAGUUAGGAAGUGUUGGCAGGCUAGCAGCUCUACAUAGCCCUGCUGUCAUGAAAACCCGCAAUGAGGCUCGGUAGCCGCUAGGUAGCUAUCUGGCUAAUGUGAUGUUGUGUACCGAACAAGACACUAUUGACAAAGCAAUACAGCUUUUGACUGAACACAACAACAACUCUGAUGUCAACACUAUAGCAUUGGGGAUUUUCUCCCCAAUUUGGCAUGCCCAAUUCCCAAUGCACUCCAAGUCCUCAUGGUGGCAUAGUGAUUCGCCUCAAUACAGGUGGCAGAGGACGAAUCUCAGUUGCCUCCACGUCUGAGACAGUCAAUCCGCGCAUCUUAUCACGUGGCUUGAGCGCGUUACCGCGGAGACCUAGUGCAUGUGGAGGCUCACACUAUUCUCCGCGGCAUCCACGCACAAAUCACCACACGCCCCACCGAGAGCGAGAACCACAUUAUAGCAACCAUGAGGAGGUUAACCCAACGUAACUCUACCCACCCUAGCAACCGGGCCAAUUGGUUGCUUAGGAAGCCUGACUGGAGUCACUCAGCACACCCUGGUUUCGAACUUGCGGCUCCAGGUGUGGUAGUCAGCGUCUUUUAACUGCUGAGGUACCCAGGCCCCCUAGUUGAACAUUUUUGUAAUGAUCCAUAGCGCUGUCACAGGCAAUAAAGUGUUUCUUCUUCUUGAGAUGUUUAUUGGCGGUUGGCAAUCCUGUUUAUUGUGCAUUAUCGGCACCUACUGAGCCGGAGUGCGGAUGUCACAAGGAAGUCUUUCAGUAGAGUCAAACAUCAGCUGAAGAUGAUGAAAUGGGUGAAAUUUCAUUAAAAAGAGGUUACGCAUCUUAUGUAGGAUUAUAUCCUAAAUGGAGUAUACUUUAAAGGUAGCUUACCCUAUGGAGUUUAAUUGGAAAUGAACAAAUCAUGUUUAAUUCAUUCUUGAAGUCUAACAAACAAGUGGAUUCCAUUUCCUCCCCCAUUAAUGGAGUGAAGUACAGGUGCAUCUCAAUAAAUUAGAAUGUCGUGGAAAAGUUCAUUUAUUUCAGUAAUUCAACUCAUUGUGAAACUCGUGUAUUAAAUAAAUUCAAUGCACACAGACUGAAGUAGUUUAAGUCUUUGGUUCUUUUAAUUGUGAUGAUUUUGGCUCACAUUUAACAAAAACCCACCAAUUCACUAUCUCAACAAAUUAGAAUAUGGUGACAUGCCAAUCAGCUAAUCAACUCAAAACACCUGCAAAGGUUUCCUGAGCCUUCAAAAUGGUCUCUCAGUUUGGUUCACUAGGCUACACAAUCAUGGGGAAGACUGCUGAUCUGACAGUUGUCCAGAAGACAAUCAUUGACACCCUUCACAAGGAGGGUAAGCCACAAACAUUCAUUGCCAAAGAAGCUGGCUGUUCACAGAGUGCUGUAUCCAAGCAUGUUAACAAAGUUGAGUGGAAGGAAAAAGUGUGGAAGAAAAAGAUGCACAACCAACCGAGCGAACCGCAGCCUUAUGAGGAUUGUCAACUAAAAUCGAUUCAAGAAUUUGGGUGAACUUCACGAGGAAUGGACUGAGGCUGGGGUCAAGGCAUCAAGAGCCACCACACACAGACGUGUCAAGGAAUUUGGCUACAGUUGUCUUAUUCCUCUUGUUAAGCCACUCCUGAACCACAGACAACGUCAGAGGCGUCUUACCUGGGCUAAGGAGAAGAAGAACUGGACUGUUGCCCAGUGGUCCAAAGUCCUCUUUUCAGAUGAGAGCAAGUUUUGUAUUUCAUUUGGAAACCAAGGUCCUAGAGUCUGGAGGAAGGGUGGAGAAGCUCAUAGCCCAAGUUGCUUGAAGUCCAGUGUUAAGUUUCCACAGUCUGUAAUGAUUUGGGGUGCAAUGUCAUUGCUGGUGUUGAUCCAUUGUGUUUUUUGAAAACCAAAGUCACUGCACCCGUUUACCAAGAAAUUUUGGAGCACUUCAUGCUUCCUUCUGCUGACCAGCUUUUUAAAGAUGCUGAUUUCAUUUUCCAGCAGGAUCUGGCACCUGCCCACACUGCCAAAAGCACCAAAAGUUGGUUAAAUGACCAUGGUGUUGCUGUGCUUGACUGGCCAGCAAACUCACCAGACCUGAACCCCAUAGAGAAUCUAUGGGGUAUUGUCAAGAGGAAAAUGAGAAACAAGAGACCAAAAAAUACAGAUGAGCUGAAACCUGGGCUUCCAUACCACCUCAGCAGUGCCACAAACUGAUCACCUCCAUGCCACGCCGAAUUGAGGCAGUAACUAAAGCAAAAGGAGCCCCUACCAAGUAUUGAGUACAUAUACAGUAAAUGAACAUACUUUCCAGAAGGCCAACAAUUCACUAAAAAUGUUUUUUUUUUUUUUUUUUUUUUUUUAUUGGUCUUAUGAUGUAUUCUAAUUUGUUGAGAUGGUGAAUUGGUGUGUUUUUGUUAAAUGUGAGCCAAAAUCAUCACAAUUAAAAGAACCAAAGACUUAAACUACUUCAGUCUGUGUGCAUUGAAUUUAUUUAAUACACGAGUUUCACAAUUUGAGUUGAAUUACUGAAAUAAAUGAACUUUUCCACGACAUUCUAAUUUAUUGAGAUUCACCUGUAUAUAUUAUGAUAAAUAUCAAUAUUGAAUGAUAUGAAAAAAAUAUUGUGAUAAUAGUUUUGGCCAUAUUGCCCAGCCCUAGCAAACAGUCAAAUGAAGUAUACUUUUUAAAGUCUAGCAUUCGAUGGUACGCAGAUGCUUAGCUUUCGCAUCAAAAAGUAGUUUGCUUUAGGCAGUGACGCUUCCUGCUGGCCACGCCAUUCACCAUGCUCAUUAUAACAGUUUGUAUUUAACUCAGAAUAAUGUGUAUUAUCAGACAUUACAUAUUUAACAUUAAUAAUAAAACAGCAAGGAGCAGCAAAUGUUUAGUUAGAAUUGCCCUCUUAAACUCCACUCCCACUUUUCUCGAGUAUGCGUGUUACAGAGCACCAAUUGAAUCAUCAGCAGUACUUGUAAGAGGAGCGCUGUGAACUUGACAACAACAAAACAAGCUCUUGGACAAAACAACAAAGGGUGAUGGUCAGACUUGCGUUUAUCAUCGAAGGAAUGAGCCUUACACCGAGUCUGUACUCUGGAGCCGGAUCAAUUUGGAGGUGGAGGGUCCGUCAUGGUCUGGGGCGGUGUGUCACAGCAUCAUCGGACUGAGCUUGUUCUCAUUGCAGGCAAUCUCAACGCUGUGCGUUACAGGGAAGACAUCCUCCUCCCUCAUGUGGUACCCUUCCUGCAGGCUCAUGCUGACAUGACCCUCCAGCAUGACAAUGCCACCAGCCAUACUGCUUGUUCUGUGUGUGAUUUCCUGCAAGACAGGAAUGUCAGUGUUCUGCCAUGGCCAGCGAAGAGCCCAGAUCUCAAUCCCAUUGAGCACGUCUGGGACCUGUUGGAUGGGAGGGUGAGGGCUAGGGCCAUUCCCCCCAGAAAUGUCCGGGGACUUGCAAGUGCCUUUGUGGAAGAGUGGGGUAACAUCUCACAGCAAGAACUGGCAAAUCUGGUGCAGUCCAUGAGGAGGAGAUGCACUGCAGUACUUAAUGCAGCUGGUGGCCACACCAGAUACUGACUGUUACUUUUGAUUUUGAACCCCCCCUUUGUUCAGGGACACAUUAUUCCAUUUCUGUUAGUCACAUGUCUGUGAAACAUGUUCAGUUUAUGUCUUAGUUGUUGAAUCUUUUAAUGUUCAUACAAAUAUUUAAACAUGUUAAGUUUGCUGAAAAUAAAAGCAGUUGAAAAUGAGAGGACGUUUCUUUUUUUGUCUGAGUUUAUAUACAGCUCUGGAUAAAAAUUAAGAGACCACUGCAAAAUGAUCAGUUUCUCUGGAUUUACUAUUUAUAGGUAUAUGUUUGAGUAAACUGAACAUUUUUGUUUUAUUUUAUAAAGUACUGACAACAUUUAUCCCAAAUUCCAAAUAAAAAUAUUGUCAUUUAAAGCAUUUAUUUACAGCAAAUGACAACUGGUCAAAAUAACAAAAAAGAUGCAGUGUUUUCAGACUUCAAAUAAUGCAAAGAAAACAAGUUCAUAUUCAUUUAUAAACAACACAAUACUAGUGAUUUAACUUAGGAAGAGUUCAGAAAUCAAUAUUUGGUGGAAUAACCCUGAUUUUCAAUCACAGCUUUCAUGUGUCUUGGCAUGCUCUCUACCAGUCUUUCACAUUGCUGUUGGGUGACUUUAUGCUUCUCCUGGCGCAAAAAUUCAAGCAGCUCGGCUUUGUCUGAUGGCUUGUGGCCAUCCAUCUUCAUCUUGAUCACAUUCCAGAGGUUUUCAAUGGGGUUCAGGUCUGGAGAUUGGGCUGGCCUUGACAGGGUCUUGAUCUGGUGCUCCUCCAUCCACACCUUGAUUGACCUGGCUGUGUGGCAUGGAGCAUUGUCUUGCUGGAAAAACCAAUCCUCAGAGUCGGGGAACAUUGUCAGAGCAGAAGGAAGCAAGUUUUCUUCCAGGAUAACCUGUACGUGGCUUGAUUCAUGUGUCCUUCACAAAGAUGAAUCUGCCUGAUUCCAGCCUUGCUGAAGCACCCACAGAUCAUCACCAAUCCUCCACCUGGUCGUCUAAUGAUUAGACGGAGACCUGAAGAGGCCUACAAGCCACAGUGUCUCACACCCACUGUGAAAUUUGGUGGAGGAUCGGUGAUGAAGGAAUUUUGCCAUAAAUUUACAGCAUUUUUUUACAGUGUGGCCUCUGGUCUAACAAUUUAAAUAAUGUUUUGUUUCUACCCACAUUUAUAUGCAGUUUUUUUUUUUUAGCAGCAAUAACUACAAAAAUAUUUUUUCUUUUAAACACAGGCAUUAAUAAUACUAAUUUAGUAAUUCAUAAAAAAAGAAUGGGACAAAAGGUAAAUAUAUGGGGGAUCCGUUUAAAACUCAUUUCUUUUUUAUUUUAUAAUCUGGCAAAUCUUGUACUGAUACUUUCCCUAAUAUCAGUCUCAGAUCUAGUAUUUUUAAUUUUAUUUUGACAGAUCAUGUUUUAAUACAUUUCAAGUACUUACUGGGGCUAUGUAUGUACUGUAUGUAAAUGUAAAAAGUAGUUUCAUAAAGAACAAGCAUCUAGCUUU
Molecule: RNA transcript, 6836 nt
Organism: Myxocyprinus asiaticus (Chinese sucker)
Lineage: Eukaryota; Metazoa; Chordata; Actinopteri; Cypriniformes; Catostomidae
Gene name: gastrula zinc finger protein XlCGF49.1-like
Exons: 3
Source: RefSeq, a predicted model, not a curated record